CCGGCAAGGAGCUCUCACCACGAGAUGAGUCCGCGUCCCAUCAGCUAGUUGGCGGUGUAAUGGACACCAAGGCUUAGACGGGUAGCUGGUCUGAGAGGAUGACCAGCCACACUGGGACUGAGACACGGCCCAGACUCCUACGGGAGGCAGCAGUGGGGAAUAUUGGACAAUGGGCAAAAGCCUGACGCAGCGACGCCGCGUGGGUGACGAAGGCCUUCGGGUUGUAAAGCCCUGUGGGGUAGAACGAACUGGCAUCGGGCUAAUAUCCCGGUGUCUUGACGGUACUGCCUUAGCAAGCAUCGGCUAACUCUGUGCCAGCAGCCGCGGUAAGACAGAGGAUGCGAACGUUGCUCGGAUUUACUGGGCGUAAAGCGCGUGUAGGCGGUCUCGUUAGUCGGGUGUGAAAGCCCCGGGCUCAACCCGGGAAGUGCACCCGAUACUGCGAGACUGGGGUACUGAAGAGGAGAGCGGAAUUCCCGGUGUAGAGGUGAAAUUCGUAGAUAUCGGGAGGAACACCAGUGGC
RNAcentral lists this ribosomal RNA (523 nucleotides) under uncultured bacterium. RNAcentral's name for it is "bacterial SSU rRNA". It matches the Rfam family "Bacterial small subunit ribosomal RNA", at positions 198 to 716 of the family's 1533-position model. The record is from RNAcentral.